Molecule: ribosomal RNA, 494 nt
Filed under: uncultured bacterium
Lineage: Bacteria
Description: partial 16S ribosomal RNA
Rfam family: Bacterial small subunit ribosomal RNA
Source: RNAcentral
GACGAACGCUGGCGGCGCGCUUAACACAUGCGAGUCGAACGGAAAGGCCUGCUUUCCCUUGUGGAUUGCGGGUACUCGAGUGGCGAACGGGUGAGUAACACGUGAGUGAUCUGCCCCCAACUUGGGUAUAAGCCUGGGAAACUGGGUCUAAUUCCCGAUAGGACUGCAGGGUGGUGCCUGUGGUGGAACACGAUUUUCUAGUGGUUGGGGAUGAGCUCGCGGCCUAUCAGCUUGUUGGUGGGGUAAUGGCCUACCAAGGCGGCGACGGGUAGCCGGCCUGGGAGGGGGGACGGCCACAGUGGGACUGAGAGACGGCCCAGACUCCUACGGGAGGCAGCAGUGGGGAAUAUUGCACAAUGGGCGGAAGCCUGAUGCAGCGACGCCGCGUGGGGGAUGACGGCCUUCGGGUUGUAAACUCCUUUCGACCGCGAGGAAGCCACCUGGUUGGAAGGGUGGUGACGGUAGUGGUAGAAGAAGCACCGGCUAACUACGUG